This 1637-nucleotide long non-coding RNA is filed under the name Homo sapiens (human). RNAcentral describes it as "HSALNT0057370". Lineage: Eukaryota; Metazoa; Chordata; Mammalia; Primates; Hominidae. The record is from RNAcentral.
GGGGAUAUAAAACCAGACAUUCGAGCCAGCAACAGCUACCCUCUUUGGGUCCCCUCCCUUUGUAUGGGAGCUCUGUUUUCACUCUAUUAAAUCUUGCAACUGCACUCUCUUCUGGUCUGUGCUUGUUAUGGUUUGAGCUGAGCUUUCGAUUGCUGUCUACCACUGCUGUUUGCCACCAUUGCAGACCCGCUGCUGACUUACAUCCCUCCGGAUCUGGCAGGGUGUCCGCUGUGCUCCUGAUCCAGUGAGGUGCCCAUUGCCACUCCCUGUCGGGCUAAAGGCUUGCCAUUGUUCCUGCAUGGCUAAGUGCCCGGGUUUGUCCUAAUCGAGCUGAACACUAGUCACUGGGUUCCUCGGUUCUCUUCUGUGACCCACAGCUUCUAAUAGAGGUAUAACACUCACUGCAUGGCCAAGAUUCCAUUCCUUGGAAUCCAUGAGGCCAAGAACCCCAGGUCAGAGAACACUAGGCUUGCCGCCAUCUUGGAAGCAGCCCGCCACCAUCUUGGGACCUCUGGGAGCAAGGACGCCCCCCCUCCCCCGCUGCUGGUAACAUUUUGGCAACCACGAAGCAACCUCCAAAGCAGCACUCAUUUGCUGCUCUUGCAAGUGCUGCCACCCAUGUGAUGCCAUCUGCCAUAUGACACAGCAUGUCAUGGUCCUUUCCAGAGGAAGUCAGGGACCCCGAACAGGGGGACAGGCUGAAGCCAUGGCAGAAGAACAUAAAUUGUGAAGAUUUCAUGGACAUUUAUUAGUUCCCCAAAUUAAUACUUUUAUAAUUUCUUACUCCUGUCUUUACUGCAAUCUCUGAACAUAAAUUGUGAUGAUUUCAUGGACACUUAUCACUUCCCCAAUUAAUACCCUUGUGAUUUCCUAUGCCUGUCUUUACUUUAAUCUCUUAAUCCCAUCAUCUUCGCAAGCUGAGGAGGAUGUAUGUCUCCUCAGGGCCCUGUGAUGAUUGCGUUAACUGCACAAAUUGUUUGUAGAGCAUGUAUGUUUGAACAAUAUGAAAUCUGGGCACCUUGAAAAAAGAACAGGAUAACAGCAACGUUCAGGGAACAAGAGAGAUAACCUUAAACUCUGACUGCCGGUGAGCCAGGUGGAACAGAGCCAUAUUUCUCUUCUAUCAAAAGCAAAUGGGAGAAAUGUCGCUGAAUUCUUUUUCUCAGCAAGGAACAUCCCUGAGAAAGAGAAUGCAUCCCUGAGGGGAGGCCUCUAAAAUGGCCGCUUUGGUGGGGCGGCUGUCUUUUACAGUCGCAGCUGUGGGAUGAAAUAAGCCCCGGUCUCCAGUAGCGCUCCCAGGCUUAUUAGGAUGAGGAAAUUUCUGCCUAAUAAAUUUUGGUCAGACUGGUUGUCUGCUCUCAACCCCUGUCUGCUGAUAAGACGUUAUCAAUGACAAUGCCUGCCCAAAACUUCAUUAGCAAUUUUAAUUUCACCCUGGUCUUGUGGUCCUGUGGUCUCACCCUGCCUCCAUCUACCUUGUGAUAUCUUAUCAUCUUGUGAAGCAUGUGAUCUCUGUGACCCACACCCUAUUUGUACACUCCCUCCCCUUUUGAAAAUCACUAAUAAAAACUUGCUCGUUUUAUGGCUCAAGGGGCAUCACGGAACCUGCCGAUGUGUGAUGUCUCCCCUGGACACCC